RNAcentral lists this non-coding RNA (613 nucleotides) under Pongo abelii (Sumatran orangutan). Lineage: Eukaryota; Metazoa; Chordata; Mammalia; Primates; Hominidae. The record is from RNAcentral.
CUUUUUUUUUUUUUUUUGAGACGGAGUCUCUCUCUGUCGCCCAGGGUAGAGUGCAGUGGUGCAAUCCUGGCUCACUGCAACCUCUGCCUCCCGGGUUCAAGCGAUUCUCCUGCCUCAGCUUCCCGAGUAGCUGGGACUACAGGCAUGUGCCACCACGCCCAGGAUCUUUCUGCUGAUGCAGCUGUUAAGAGUGUUUCAUAAACUGUGACACUGAGCAAAAUCAUAGAAGGAAACUCUAUGGACAAUUUCAGAUGGAGAAGAAGAAAGGAUUGGAAGUUCAAUUUGGCCAUGACAAUUAGAGGCCAGGUGCAGUGCAUGUAAUCCCAGCACUUUGGGAGACUGAGAUGGGAAGAUCGCUUGAGGCCAGGAGUGCAAGACCAGCCUGGGCAACAUAGCAAGAACUUGACUCUACUAAAAAAAAAAAGGAUCCUUCAACUUCAACAAUAACAACACGAGGGAAGUGAAGAAAAACACUUUCUAAGGAAAUCUCUCUCUGAGCUACCAUCCGGCUAGGGAGAGCCUGAAAGCAGAAUGCUGACUUGACUAGCUCUGGCCAAUAAAGGAAAUCACCAGUGGAAAGGCUACCAGGGGGCUUCCUCAAAAGAGAGGGACG